Molecule: ribosomal RNA, 508 nt
Filed under: uncultured Bacillota bacterium
Lineage: Bacteria; Bacillati; Bacillota
Description: bacterial SSU rRNA
Rfam family: Bacterial small subunit ribosomal RNA
Source: RNAcentral
GACGAACGCUGGCGGCACGCCUAAUACAUGCAAGUCGGGCGGGGGAAGCUUGCGGAAGCCUUCGGGCGGAAGCGAGUGGACCCAGCGGCGGACGGGUGAGUAACACGUAGGCAACCUGCCUGUAAGACCGGGAUAACUCCGGGAAACCGGGGCUAAUACCGGAUAGGCUCUUCUGCCGCAUGGUGGGGGAGUGAAAGAUGGCGCGAGCUAUCGCUUACAGAUGGGCCUGCGGCGCAUUAGCUAGUUGGUGAGGUAACGGCUCACCAAGGCGACGAUGCGUAGCCGGCCUGAGAGGGUGGUCGGCCACACUGGGACUGAGACACGGCCCAGACUCCUACGGGAGGCAGCAGUAGGGAAUCUUCCGCAAUGGGCGCAAGCCUGACGGAGCGAUGCCGCGUGAGCGAGGAAGGCCUUCGGGUCGUAAAGCUCUGUUGUCAGGGAAGAAGUCCUUGGGUGUGAAGAAUGCCUGAGGUUGACGGUACCUGACGAGGAAGCCCCGGCUAACUAC